CCAAUGACAGCAGGGGUCAGUGUUACGUCUGAGCUACGAUAGGCUGGAGGAAAUCGGCCCAUGACCAGCCCCUCCUCUUCCGCUCCAUCGCCAUGGCGGAGAUCAGCGAGUCGCUUCUGUCGGUGUCGCCGGCCUCGGCGCCCACAAGGACGGUUGUGAUUCCCCUUCGCGCCUCGGUGGGUCUGUUUCGGGGACGUCUGUGGUGGCUGACGAAACAUGCUUUGACAGGGAGCGAGCGAGGAUCAAUGACUACAACUCCCAGAAGGCCCCACUGAUGACGUUGUGGUGUUGUUUCGGGCUUUCCCACCACAGAUGUAAGGCUCAAUGGUCUAUAAUUAUCUGGACUAUCCCUACUACCCUUUUUGAACAAGGGGACAACAUUCGCCUCCCUCCAAUACUCCGGUACAAUUCCCGUGGACAAUGGGGACAUAAUGAUCUUCGCCAGAGGCUCAGCAAUCUAUUUCCUUGCCUCGGAUGCAGAACUGGGAAGCGCAGAUGGAGUUCAACACAGAUGAAGAGGUUCAUUUCUGCAGGUCAAAUUUGAACACAGAAUAUAAUAUUAAUGGGACAUUACUCCUGACAUUGGUCCCAAGACCCAGCCUGUUUACAGAACCGGAGCGGAACUGGAGCAGAUUCUUAGACACUUGUUUUCAUCGCAAAUCCAGAAGACAGUUUAACGUUUUUUCGUGAAUUUAUUCUGAGUGAAGUUGUGGAGAUGGGAGUUGGUCUCCGCGUUGUAAAAUGAAUCUGUCCCGGACUCGUAACUGAGAUAAACUCCCACCCUCCCGGGGUUGGGACAGGCAGCGAGUCGGGGUUCAGGGGAGGUGGCAACACUGAACAAAUCAUAAUUCAAGUCCGAUAACCCCUGUCCGAUGACCCAGAUCAGCCAGAUAGUGGCGUCUGU
This is a long non-coding RNA of Hypanus sabinus (Atlantic stingray), 904 nucleotides long. RefSeq lists it as uncharacterized. NCBI's taxonomy places the organism in Eukaryota, Metazoa, Chordata, Chondrichthyes, Myliobatiformes, Dasyatidae. The record is from RefSeq and is a predicted model, not a curated record. The transcript has 3 exons.